CCUCCCGCUGUUGCUGGGGCUUGGGGUGGAACUCGAUGGAACUGUUGGCCAGGUCGCCCAUCCUGCCUGUUGUGUCCGACCUCUUCACAGCUGCAGGCUUGGCUAAUGGCAGGUGCCCACCAGGC
This is a long non-coding RNA of Mustela erminea (ermine), 125 nucleotides long. RefSeq lists it as uncharacterized. The transcript has 4 exons. The record is from RefSeq and is a predicted model, not a curated record. NCBI's taxonomy places the organism in Eukaryota, Metazoa, Chordata, Mammalia, Carnivora, Mustelidae.